UAGGGAAGUCUUCCACAAUGGGCGAAAGCCUGAUGGAGCAACGCCGCGUGUGUGAUGAAGGGUUUCGGCUCGUAAAACACUGUUGUAAGAGAAGAAUGACAUUGAGAGUAACUGUUCAAUGUGUGACGGUAUCUUGCCAGAAAGGAACGGCUAAAUACGUGCCAG
Molecule: ribosomal RNA, 165 nt
Filed under: uncultured bacterium
Lineage: Bacteria
Description: partial 16S rRNA
Rfam family: Bacterial small subunit ribosomal RNA
Source: RNAcentral